GAUUCUGGCUCAGGAUGAACGCUGGCAGUGUGCCUUAGACAUGCAAGUCGAACGAAGCGCUCUCACCUGAUCCCUUCGGGGUGAGUGGUGGGGGUGACUUAGUGGCGAACGGGUGAGUAUCACGUGGGUGACCUGCCCUCGAGUGCGGCAUAACAGGGGGAAACUCCUGCUAAUAUCGCAUGGUCUCGCUCCUUUUUUGGGGUGUGAGUAAAGGAACUUGUUUCCGCUCGAGGAUGGGCCCGCGGCCCAUCAGCUUGUUGGUAGGGUAAUGGCCUACCAAGGCGACGACGGGUAGCCGACCUGAGAGGGUGAUCGGCCACAGGGGCACUGAGAUACGGGCCCCACUCCUACGGGAGGCAGCAGUUAGGAAUCUUCCACAAUGGGGGGCCAACCCUGAUGGAGCGACACUGCGUGAAGGAUGAAGGCCUUCGGGUUGUAAACUUCUAAUAGAGGGACGAAAGUUGACGGUACCUCUUGAUUAGCACCGGCUAACUCCGUGCCAGCCGCCGC
Molecule: ribosomal RNA, 510 nt
Filed under: uncultured bacterium
Lineage: Bacteria
Description: bacterial SSU rRNA
Rfam family: Bacterial small subunit ribosomal RNA
Source: RNAcentral